GGUUAUAAAAAUUAAGUUAUAUUAGAAGUUCUUAGUUUCUUGCAGAGGUGGAAUUCGAAUAAGAAAACUCAGACUGUUAGCUUCUUUGAUUUUGAGGCCCUGAAAAUUUAAUUUAAAACCGGGAUUAGAUACCCCGUUAUUUAUUUUGUAAACUUUGAUGUUUGUAAUUUACUUGAGUAUUACGAGUAACUAACAUAAGAGAGAAAUUAGUUAGUGUGGACUUAAAACUCAAAAAACUUGGCGGUGCCUUAAUUCUUUUCAGGGGAACUUGUCCCGUAAUCGAUAGUCCCCGAUUUAACUUACUUUUUUUUGUAUUUUAUUUUAGUUUUAAAACAGUUUGUAUACCGUCGUCGUCAGAUUACCUUUAAGAGAAUAUAAAAGUUGUCGUAAAAAAUAAAUAAAGAGAAUGUCAUGUAGUAAGUAAAUUUUAUUAAAUGUCAGGAUAUUUGUAUAUUUUUAAUGUCAGAUCAAGGUGCAGCUUAUAGAAAAGUGGAGAUGAGUUACAAUGAAUAUUUAUUAGACGAAUUUUAAGUUGUAAAAUUUAAUUGAAGGCGGACUUGAGAGUAAUAUUAGCAAAUAAAGCAUAAAUUUUAAGUAGCGUAUAAAUGUGAAUAUGGUGCUAAGGUGCGU
Molecule: ribosomal RNA, 630 nt
Filed under: Diloma zelandicum
Lineage: Eukaryota; Metazoa; Mollusca; Gastropoda; Trochida; Trochidae
Description: partial 12S ribosomal RNA
Source: RNAcentral